GAUGAACGCUGGCGGCGUGCCUAAUACAUGCAAGUCGAGCGAACAGAUGAGGAGCUUGCUCCUCUGACGUUAGCGGCGGACGGGUGAGUAACACGUGGAUAACCUACCUAUAAGACUGGGAUAACUUCGGGAAACCGGAGCUAAUACCGGAUAAUAUAUUGAACCGCAUGGUUCAAUAGUGAAAGACGGUUUUGCUGUCACUUAUAGAUGGUUCCGCGCCGCAUUAGAUAGUUGGUAAGGUAACGGCUUACCAAGGCAACGAUGCGUAGCCGACCUGAGAGGGUGAUCGGCCACACUGGAACUGAGACACGGUCCAGACUCCUACGGGAGGCAGCAGUAGGGAAUCUUCCGCAAUGGGCGAAAGCCUGACGGAGCAACGCCGAGUGAGUGAUGAAGGUCUUCGGAUCGUAAAACUCUGUUAUUAGGGAAGAACAAAUGUGUAAGUAACUAUGCACGUCUUGACGGUACCUAAUCAGAAAGCCACGGCUAACUACGCG
RNAcentral lists this ribosomal RNA (497 nucleotides) under uncultured bacterium. RNAcentral's name for it is "partial 16S ribosomal RNA". It matches the Rfam family "Bacterial small subunit ribosomal RNA", at positions 28 to 507 of the family's 1533-position model. The record is from RNAcentral.